Molecule: non-coding RNA, 313 nt
Filed under: Thelephora sp.
Lineage: Eukaryota; Fungi; Basidiomycota; Agaricomycetes; Thelephorales; Thelephoraceae
Also listed under: 2 other names
Source: RNAcentral
AACGCACCUUGCGCCCCUUGGCUAUUCCGAGGGGCAUGCCUGUUUGAGUAUCAUGAACACCUCAACUCUCAUGGUUUGCCAUGAUGAGUUGGACUCUGGGGGUUUUGCUGGCCUGUGGUCGGCUCCUCUCAAAUUAAUCAGCCUCCCAGUGUUUGGUGGCAUCACGGGUGUGAUAAAUAUCUACGCUCGCUGUUGUCUGCCAGGUAACCUUUGGUCACAAAGGUUUGCUGGAGCUCACAGAUGUCUCUCCUCAGCGAGGACAGCUUUUUUAACGUUCGAUCUCAAAUCAGGUAGGACUACCCGCUGAACUUAA